This is a long non-coding RNA of Capsicum annuum, 2330 nucleotides long. RefSeq lists it as uncharacterized. Lineage: Eukaryota; Viridiplantae; Streptophyta; Magnoliopsida; Solanales; Solanaceae. The record is from RefSeq and is a predicted model, not a curated record. The transcript is spliced from 7 exons.
UCAACCGUUACUAAAAAUUACCUAUAAUCGUUGCAUAAAAUUGUCUAGUCUAUUAGCACAAAAAUUAAUAGAACCGUCGCAAUAUACUUGAAAACCGUCGCAAUAGGAUAUUCUAUGGUCACGGUUUUAAGAACCGUCGCCAUAGAUAAUUUUUAGCCACGUUUUUUUUUGACAAAAAAUUAUAUUUACCGAAAAUUUUCUCUCCAACAUUUUAUUUACCCGCUUAUUUUAAUUAUAUUAAUUUUCUUUAAAAAAACAUUUCAAUAUUUUGGCUCUAGUUAGGGUUUAGAAAGCCCCAAAUUGAUAAUACGCCAACACUUUCUUCAUUCAUCCUCUCGUAAAUUCUUCAACAUCAGGGACUUCAAUUCUUCUCUUCGUCAAUUCUUCAAGGAAUCGUUACAUUGAGAAACAAUUCUUCUUCUAUUGAAAAAAUUGUUGAAGUGAAAGACACUUGGUUGUUCUAUUGAGAAAUCCGUUACAUUAAUUGUUGUUCUACUCAUCUUCUUCUCCGCUCAAUUCGGUGUGAAUCGUUCAACCUUGGUGUCUUCCCUACAACAGCGUCUUUGUAAAGGGAGGUUGGGAAAAGGAUGAAACAAUUGAAGUUACUGCAAGGCGCGAGACAAUAGAGGAAGCUGGUGUUUGUGGUGAUAUCAAAGGAAAAACUAGGAACGUUGUACUUCGAGAAUAAAAGUGGUGACACUGCUUACAAAGGGCACCUGUUUCCCUUAUUUGUGAUGGAGGAACUAGAUUUAUGGCCGGAGAAAGACACCCGCGAAAGAUCUAAGACAUCCGCGAAAGAUCUGCUAUGAGCGUGCGAUAAGCAAGAAAGCUCUGCCAACAGGGCUUGAUGAAAGAAGCCUUGGAGUUGUUAGUUAGUCGCCUCACGUCACAAUGUAGGCGGACUAAAAUGGACCUGUUUUCAAGAAUCACCCGUAGCUCAGUUGGCCAUGGAACUAUUUUGCAGUUAGGAGGCAGGGCACAAGUACUCGCUCAACCACCACCACCUACUCCGACAGAUGAGGCCUAGUCUCCAUCAGCCAAGGGCCACUUCCAAAGGCAGAAUGUGAAAGAGUCUUCACGGAACGAGGAUGUGAUUUUUGUUUGACAAUCCUUGGCAGCCGGAGUUCCCUACGGGCUCACAGAGAAUCCUGCAUAUCGCAUCCGAAUAAUAAUGUAUGUAAAAUUAAUUCUAGCUAUGAUAGACUCAAGUCCCUCGUAUUUGUCUCAUCUAGUAAAUAAGACCAGAUGAUAGCCACACUUUCUUCCUCAAAUCUACAAAGCUAUCUCUUCUCUCUAGCUACUCAAGACUAUAGAGUCUCAAAUCUACAAUUGCUGGAAUUAUUACAGGAAGAGUUAUCGACCACUUUUAAAAGAAAAUGGCUUCUUCUGCAUUUUAAAGUUGGUGAUGCUACCUCUCUGCUCAUCUGUACUAGUUUUGAAUUUUGUAAUUGUUCCAUGAUCACGUCUCUACACGUUAGCUUCCAUAGUCUGUUUUUUUUCUUAUAACACUGGUGUUCAGUCCCACGUGUGUGUAGCUUGACUUUUCAGUGAGUACCUCCUAUCUCCCGCUAGCAUAGUUACCGGGUAACUCCAACUACUGGAUAUGUUUAGUUGUCUUUAAACAUAUUUAGUGAUUUAUAGAAUAUUGAAUCCUGUUGACGCUAUAAGAUAGGAGUAACAUUUAUCUAUUUUCUUUUAAGUAUAGUUUAUCAAUGUGAUCAUGUUCUAUCACAAAUUUAACCUCCUCCAUAGAAUCAUCUGAAUGCCAGUUAUGAUCUUUUGUUUCUCCUUCAUUAACAUAAUAGAAUGCACUUGAUGUUUAUGAAUGUCGUGCUUACACUUUCUUGUUUGCGUUCACUUGCCUUGUCUUGUCCAUGUGAAGGGAAGCCUUAUAGAAUAAGGAAGCUCGCCACUGAAGAUUACUGGGGUAUUCAGUGGCAAUGUGAUGAUUCCCUGAGUCUCCGUAUAAGAAUUUGUAUUUGUGGCACAUUCUGCUUUGGGAAAGAAAUGAAUACAUGGACAAUUGCUUGGCUAAAGGGCUUUGAAUCUCCAUUUUUUGCUCUGUAGUAUUUGCAAGAUCAUAAUUAUCUCAGGAAAAUCGUAGUUGAAGAUCAUCCAAGUCAACCAAAGUUGACAUUAUGAUAGAAGAGGUGAUCAUGACAUAGAAGAUGGCGGGAACGAAAUUGAUGAACUAGACCUGACUUAAGCGAUUGAUCACAUUGGCUUCACGUCACACUAGUAGUUGAAAAACUUGUGUAUGUUCUGAUUGAGAUCGAUCACAUUUGAUUGAGUAGAUUCAAACAUCUUUUAUUUUUGAACAUUCAAAACUA